Molecule: ribosomal RNA, 440 nt
Filed under: uncultured bacterium
Lineage: Bacteria
Description: partial 16S ribosomal RNA
Rfam family: Bacterial small subunit ribosomal RNA
Source: RNAcentral
CCUACGGGAGGCAGCAGUAGGGAAUAUUGCUCAAUGGGGGAAACUCUGAAGCAGCAACGCCGCGUGGAGGAUGAAGGUUUUCGGAUUGUAAACUCCUUUUGUUAGAGAAGAUAAUGACGGUAUCUAACGAAUAAGCACCGGCUAACUCCGUGCCAGCAGCCGCGGUAAUACGGAGGGUGCAAGCGUUACUCGGAAUCACUGGGCGUAAAGAGCGAGUAGGUGGGAGAGCAAGUCAGAUGUGAAAUCCUAUGGCUUAACCAUAGAAUUGCAUUUGAAACUGUUAUUCUAGAGUAUGGGAGAGGUAGGUGGAAUUCUUGGUGUAGGGGUAAAAUCCGUAGAGAUCAAGAGGAAUACUCAUUGCGAAGGCGACCUGCUAGAACAUAACUGACGCUGAUGCGCGAAAGCGUGGGGAGCAAACAGGAUUAGAUACCCCUGUAGUC